UCAAUGUAAACACGGUACGCGUACUUACCGCGUUUGCGCGAAACUCUCUUCCUGGAACCAGCUGAAGUAAUAGGUAUCGAUUGCAUAUAUUGCACCGCGGCAGCCGGCAAAGUACGACCAGAAUGACGUUUUCGGUCGGUACUGCGCCGCGUGGGAACUUUCCAGAAUGUUUUGAUGCAUCACAAGACGUAUACUCGUUUGUGUGUUGCUGACUCCGGGAAUAAUAUUCUUUGGCAGUGCGUUCUCCGUAACUAGUCUCAUUUCACAAACGUUUGAAAUUUGUUUAACUUUAACUACAGUGCAAUAAGCUACAGUCUCAACUUGCAAAUAGCCUUUAUUCGAACUUGGAACAGUUCUUAUUACCUUGGAAUAUCGGUUGAAAAGAAAUCAAUCACAAUGGACCGGGAUGCACGAGUUAAUAUCAACGAGCGGGACGAUUUACGCCGCGCCUCCACAACAUCGGAGGAGAGCUUCUGGGAUCAUCCCAUCCAGUCUAUCCGGGAGACCAUCGGUCACGCAAUGGACGCCGUGAUGCCGCAUAUGGAUCGUGGGGAGCGUCCGAACGACGAAGAAGCAGCAUCACCCGACGAAAACAUCAGCGUGGUUAUGACGUAAUUGUAUGGGACACCAACGACGCUAAUGUGUGAUGUACAGAUAAAUAGCAUUCGGUGUGAUUAUGCGGGGUUAAUUCAUUUUGCUUUAAUUCAGUAAUACUUGCACGUCAAUGCUGUUCUGGACCUUACGGUUAGAAGUUUUCGGGAUACGGAAAUGUAUCAGUGUACAGUUGCUGCAUAUUGCAGAAUUUUUGUCUUUUCCUCGGUGGUGCGUACCAUUCAGCGUGCAUUGGUUUUAUUAUGGUAAAUUACCAAAAUAAAUUCCAAAAAAUCUGCAA
Long non-coding RNA from Paramacrobiotus metropolitanus, 892 nucleotides. RefSeq lists it as uncharacterized. Lineage: Eukaryota; Metazoa; Tardigrada; Eutardigrada; Parachela; Macrobiotidae. The transcript has 2 exons. The record is from RefSeq and is a predicted model, not a curated record.